RNAcentral lists this ribosomal RNA (406 nucleotides) under uncultured bacterium. Its description in RNAcentral is "partial 16S ribosomal RNA". It matches the Rfam family "Bacterial small subunit ribosomal RNA", at positions 30 to 526 of the family's 1533-position model. The record is from RNAcentral.
AUUGAACGCUGGCGGCAGGCCUAACACAUGCAAGUCGAGCGAGCGGCGGACGGGUGAGUAAUGUCUGGGAAACUGCCUGAUGGAGGGGGAUAACUACUGGAAACGGUAGCGAAUACCGCAUAACAUCAGAUGUGCCCAGAUGGGAUUAGCUAGUAGGUGGGGGAAUGGCUCACCACGGCGACGAUCCCUAGCUGGUCUGAGAGGAUGCCCAGCCACACGGGAACUGAGACACUGUCCAGACUCCUACGGGAGGAAGCAGUGGGGAAUAUUGCACAAUGGGCGCAAGCCUGAUGCAGCCAUGCCGCGUGUAUGAAGAAGGCCUUCGGGUUGUAAAGUACUUUCAGCGAGGAGGCGUUACUCGCAGAAGAAGAACCGGCUAACGCCGUGCCAGCAGCCGCGGUAAUAC